This 145-nucleotide non-coding RNA is filed under the name unclassified sequences. The record is from RNAcentral.
GUUACAUUAUAGCCCCUAUCUAUAUUUUGUAACAACAGUACCAGAGAUGUAUAGGGCUCUUUGGAAAGUAACAAUGGUGGGUCUAUGAUAAAUAGACGGGCAUCUAUAAAAGCGCUGCGCUAUUAGCAGAUGGCUAAACGAUGUC